RNAcentral lists this long non-coding RNA (286 nucleotides) under Eutrema salsugineum. RNAcentral's name for it is "long non-coding RNA (ESAL_LNC001258)". Lineage: Eukaryota; Viridiplantae; Streptophyta; Magnoliopsida; Brassicales; Brassicaceae. The record is from RNAcentral.
CCUCUCUUGCUGUUUUGCAUAAUGUCUUGUCUCUCCAGAAAAAAGGUAACCUUAAACACUAAAAACCUCACCUUCUAAACAGCCAUUCUGAAUACCUAGCCUUGAUUUCCUUGCUAAACUAUUUUUAAUGAGAACCACUGGAACCUAUAAAUGAAUGUUAAGAGCUAGUUGACUGGAGGAUAGGUUUAAGUGUGUAUACUUUCGCAUGACGGAUCAACAGACUAGUUAUGCUUGUGCUUUGGUGAAAAUUUUCUAGACUAUCCUUGAUUUGAGCAUAGUGACUAAC